Molecule: long non-coding RNA, 449 nt
Filed under: Medicago truncatula (barrel medic)
Lineage: Eukaryota; Viridiplantae; Streptophyta; Magnoliopsida; Fabales; Fabaceae
Description: lncRNA gene1189
Source: RNAcentral
AUGUUCCAAAAGUCUUCUCCUAAAUUGAGAAUCAUCAUAAGCAGCUAUUUGCACUUCGUCUUUGGGAUUCAAUUCUUCAAAAUACUAAACACACAAAGCAUAGAUGUGUCAUGAAAAAUGUUAAAAAUUAACUGUUUGAAAUUGUUUCUUUAAAAAAAGUUAUUAUUUUUUAAUAAUGUGCAUGUUUGUAGACCAUUAGCAAAAUAUGACUAAUACAGGUACACUGCAAAGUUGAAGACACUUACAGAUGAAUCAUAUCUUUUUGAAGGAACGAAAGGGGUAUCUUCACAAACUUGAUAAGGUUCCAAAAUAGUAACAUCUGGAUCGGAGCAAUUACCCCCAUCCUCCACCGUGGGUGUGUUUGUGGUAUUCUUACAACUCAUAUACUCCUUAUCACCAUCAACAAUCGAACUAGUGAAUUUCGCUUAACACUUGAACUUUGUCCUAGU